UACGUAGGGGGCAAGCGUUGUCCGGAUUUAUUGGGCGUAAAGAGCGUGUAGGCGGCCAGACAGGUCCGUUGUGAAAACUCGAGGCUCAACCUCGAGACGCCGAUGGAAACCGUCUGGCUAGAGUCCGGAAGAGGAGAGUGGAAUUCCUGGUGUAGCGGUGAAAUGCGCAGAUAUCAGGAAGAACACCCGUGGCUAAGGCGGCUCUCUAGUACGGUACUGACGCUGAGGAGCGAAAGCGUGGGGAGCGAACAGG
Molecule: ribosomal RNA, 253 nt
Filed under: uncultured bacterium
Lineage: Bacteria
Description: partial 16S ribosomal RNA
Rfam family: Bacterial small subunit ribosomal RNA
Source: RNAcentral